CAGCAUUUUAUUAAUCUUUCACUAAUCCAGAUUUCUAUCAACAGUGACAAAUGAAAUUAGAUGCGUGCAGGAGGGAUUCACAGGAUGUAUUUAGACAGCCCAGGCCCAUAUAUGUCUGCUCAAGGGUAAGCCCCAUUGAAUUAUUUGGGACUGAUUCCCAAAUAAUCAAGUAUGAUUGCAACCAGAAUCUGUUACUAAAUUCUGUACUGCUUAGGGAUGUAGAACCCUUGAGAAAAGAAAAGCAAUUUACAAGGUGGUAUCAUUUUUGUUGUGUCUGCCCUAAUAAUAAUAAUAAUAAUAAUAAUAAUAAUAAUAAUAAUAAUAAUAAUAUAAACUGGACACAGGCGGAACUGGACAAUUUGGACAGAAAAUCAAGAAAACUCAUGACCAUUCAUCAUUCACUGCACCCCCGCAGUGAUGUUGACCGGCUAUAUCUGCCUAGAAGAUCAGGGGGCAGAGGACUCUUACAAGUCAAACAAGCAGUCAAAGAAGAAGAACAUGUCCUGGCAGAAUAUGUAAAGCAAAGUGAAGAACCUGCUUUGAUUGAAGUCAAAAAUCAGAAACUCCUCAAAGCACAGCAGACAAAAAAUCAGUACAAGAAAACCACACUACAAACUAGAGCUGACAGCUGGCACAACAAAACAUUGCAUGGAAAGUUCCUUGACAAAAUUGAAGGAAAAGCUGAUAUGGAGAAGACCUGGCUAUGGCUCACGAAUGGGACAUUGAAGAAGGAGACUGAAGGCCUAAUCCUUACAGCUCAGGAGAAGGCCAUCAGAACAAAUGCAAUUAAGGCCAAGAUCGAAAAAUCAGCUGAUGACCCAAAAUGCAGACUGUGCAAGGAAACCGACGAAACCAUUGAUCAUCUCCUCAGCUGCUGUAAAAAAAUCGCACAGACAGACUACAAACAGAGGUACAACUAUGUGGCCCAAAUGAUUCAUUGGAACUUAUUCCUCAAGUGCCACCUCCCAGCAGCAAAGAACUGGUGGGAUCACAAACCUGCAAAAGUAUUGGAAAAUGAACACGCAAAGAUACUGUGGGACUUCCGAAUCCAGACUGACAAAGUUCUGGAACACAACACACCAGACAUCACGGUUGUGGAAAAUAAAAAGGUUUGGAUCAUUGAUGUUGCCAUCCCAGGUGACAGUCGCAUUGACGAAAAACAACAGGAAAAACUCAGCCGCUAUCAGGACCUCAAGAUUGAACUUCAAAGACUCUGGCAGAUCCCAGUAGGGUGGCCUUUUGCAGUUGGCAGAUCGUAA
RNAcentral lists this long non-coding RNA (1259 nucleotides) under Anolis carolinensis (green anole). RNAcentral describes it as "lncRNA (ENSACAG00000040797.1)". Lineage: Eukaryota; Metazoa; Chordata; Lepidosauria; Squamata; Anolidae. The record is from RNAcentral.